RNAcentral lists this ribosomal RNA (253 nucleotides) under uncultured bacterium. RNAcentral describes it as "partial 16S ribosomal RNA". It matches the Rfam family "Bacterial small subunit ribosomal RNA", at positions 524 to 776 of the family's 1533-position model. The record is from RNAcentral.
UACGAAGGGGGCUAGCGUUGCUCGGAAUCACUGGGCGUAAAGGGUGCGUAGGCGGGUCUUUAAGUCAGGGGUUAAAUCCUUGAGCUCAACUCCAGAACUGCCUUUGAUACUGAAGAUCUUGAGUUCGGGAGAGGUGAGUGGAACUGCGAGUGUAGAGGUGAAAUUCGUAGAUAUUCGCAAGAACACCAGUGGCGAAGGCGGCUCACUGGCCCGAUACUGACGCUGAGGCACGAAAGCGUGGGGAGCAAACAGG